This 442-nucleotide ribosomal RNA is filed under the name uncultured bacterium. Its description in RNAcentral is "partial 16S ribosomal RNA". It matches the Rfam family "Bacterial small subunit ribosomal RNA", at positions 338 to 795 of the family's 1533-position model. The record is from RNAcentral.
CCUACGGGAGGCAGCAGUGGGGAAUAUUGGGCAAUGGGCGCAAGCCUGACCCAGCAACGCCGCGUGAAGGAAGAAGGCUUUCGGGUUGUAAACUUCUUUUGUCAGGGAAGAGUAGAAGACGGUACCUGACGAAUAAGCCACGGCUAACUACGUGCCAGCAGCCGCGGUAAUACGUAGGUGGCAAGCGUUGUCCGGAUUUACUGGGUGUAAAGGGCGUGUAGCCGGGUUGACAAGUCAGAUGUGAAAUCCUGCGGCUUAACCGCAGUACUGCAUUUGAAACUGUUGAUCUUGAGUACUGGAGAGGCAGACGGAAUUCCUAGUGUAGCGGUGAAAUGCGUAGAUAUUAGGAGGAACACCAGGGGCGAAGGCGGUCUGCUGGACAGCAACUGACGGUGAGGCGCGAAAGCGUGGGGAGCAAACAGGAGUAGAUACCCGAGUAGUC